This 253-nucleotide ribosomal RNA is filed under the name uncultured bacterium. RNAcentral describes it as "partial 16S ribosomal RNA". It matches the Rfam family "Bacterial small subunit ribosomal RNA", at positions 524 to 776 of the family's 1533-position model. The record is from RNAcentral.
UACAGAGGGGGCAAGCGUUGUUCGGAAUUACUGGGCGUAAAGGGCGCGUAGGCGGCCUGCUAAGUCGAACGUGAAAUCCCCGGGCUCAACCCGGGAACUGCAUCCGAUACUGGCAGGCUUGAAUCCGGGAGAGGGAUGCGGAAUUCCAGGUGUAGCGGUGAAAUGCGUAGAUAUCAGGAAGAACACCCGUGGCGAAGGCGGCUCUCUGGGACGGUACUGACGCUGAGACGCGAAAGCGUGGGGAGCGAACAGG